Molecule: long non-coding RNA, 2221 nt
Organism: Mytilus trossulus (common blue mussel)
Lineage: Eukaryota; Metazoa; Mollusca; Bivalvia; Mytilida; Mytilidae
Exons: 3
Source: RefSeq, a predicted model, not a curated record
ACUACAGUUCAGUGACUCAAGUUUAAAAUGCAUAAGCUUAAGGUCAUAACAGAAUUUAAACUUACUAUCAUAUUUGUAUAAACAUCAUGAUGAAUAUUUACAUUCUCUAAAAGAGUUUUAAUUUUACUUAACUAAUACAGAAGAUGAUGGAUUCCCCAACAGAAAUCUUGAUGACGGAUCAAGGUGAAAAAAUUGAAGAAUUGCAUCAAUAGUUACAGAGAAUCGAUUUGCACGCAGAAACAGGUGCUCAAAGAUAAGGGAAUACAACAGCCAUCCAUGCUCCUUCCAUGUAAAGUAAGCAGCUUUCCCUGAUGCUUAUAGGCAUACACGAUCUAGUCUGGGCAUGUGAAACAGCAGCUGGUUCUAUUUUGAAAAUCUACAAAAUAGAGCUAAGGUCCUUUAAGCCAGGAAACUGCUAGUAUCUGAAGAGGACAAUUUAAGACAGGCCAUGAAAAUUGAUUAAAUGUCAAGUGGGAACAGUGAUUUUGUAAAUAAACUCGCCUGAUCACAAAACUUCAGGUUUGACUGUCACAAGAUUUUAAAUCUUACAUGGAUAGACUAAAGUCAUUUACUAGACUGUAAAUACUAGAGACAGCUGAAUGCACAAGGCAAAAAGCUGAGGUCUAAGUGAAUCAGAGAGGCCUUGUCACAAGAAAUGUACAGAACUUGCAUGGUUUUUUUUCCUUAAGGGCAUAUGACAAAAAAAUUGAGAGAUGUCAAUGAAAAUUUCUUUGAAUUUAAAAAAGGGCCAAUUCAAAGGUACACUUUUGGAAUUUGCAAGAACAAAAAUACCUUCAUGUUUACUUUUGAAUUAUAGUUGACAAUCUUCACUUUGAGGGGAACCUCUGAAAAUAAGUCAAAUGGAGGGGUUUGCCAGGUUUAUUGAAAUCGAUUAUUUUUUAAAGUAAAACAGAUGAAUUAUUGCUCUUUAAUUUCAACAUUUGCAUUUUACUAUAAAUAUUAUUUACAAGUGCAGCAUAUCGGUGACAUCAGAUUAUGGUAUUGUGUUUGGUUAAGCUACAUAUUUCUUUUUACAUAAACUUUCUGUUGCCUUUACUGGUUAAUAAAAUGCUGAAUAAUAAUUUGAGUGUGGCUCAUUUCAGUGUCCAGUAUUUGCUGUCAAUUUUUGUGAUGAUUUUACCAUAUCAUUUAUAAUGGCUUGGCCAAAGGGAGAUAACUUUUUAUAUUUUCACAUUAAAAUGCUGAAUAAUAAUUUGAGUGUGGCUCAUUUCAGUGUCUAGUAUUUGCUGUCACUUUUUUCCUGUAAAAUUUCACCAUAUUAUUUAUAAUCGCUUGGUCAAAGGGAGAUAACUUUUUAUAUUUUCACAUUAAAUCAUCUGCGAAGAGGAUUAUGUAAAAUGUGAAUUUUAUGGUUCAAUAAAAGCAAAAUAAGUUACUGCCAUUCAUUAUCAAUCAAUUUCAAUAAAAAAUAAGGCUCAAAGAACUUUUUAUAUUACUUAUAUUAACAAUAACAAUGUACACAUGUGUUGACGUGUUAAUACACAACAUCAGAGUGGGUGUGUCACCAUAAAAUGUAAACAUUGUAAAUAAAACUGAUACUUUUAACUAAUCAGGAAACAGUUAAUACACCACAUAUAUUUUUAAACCUAUAAACUUAUUAUUUUCUUCAAUUGUUUAAGUUCAUUCAGUAUUGAUAAAUUUUUGAUUGACAUUACAUAAUAUUGUUAAUAAAAGUUUAUUUGUGUGCUAUUUUAUUUAAUUGUACAUAUUUGAAAUAUAACAUUACACCUUAUUAUUUUUAUUCUUGCAUACAGCACUUGGAAUGAAAUCUCAUACCAUUUUAAUUAAAAUGUUCCAGCAGCAGGAUUGUUUUUGAAUUUAGCAAUUAUGUUAAUUAUGUAAAUAACGUAAUGUUUUUUGUUUUUUGCUUUUUGAAGUUUUUAAAAUUGACAAAUAAUGCUAGCAAGGGACAUUAUUAUUAAUUUUUUUUUAUGAUGCCAAACUUGAAAUUUUAAAGUGGCUAUGUUUGCUAUUUGUUAUAACCCUAUUGUUAUGAUUCUUAAACCAUCUAUACAAGUAAGCAUUUUGAUUUGUCACUUACCAUUAUUUUAUUGAUUAGUUUGAAUUUGAUGAGGUUCUUGAUGUAGAACUGGACUUAUUUAAACAAAAAAUGUUUUUUUUUAAUUGUUUGAUAGUAAAAUUGUAUUUCAAACAUUUGACAUUUUAUUUAAUUUAUCAUCAAAACAACUCUUAUUUGUCA